AUACGGAGGGUGCAAGCGUUAAUCGGAAUUACUGGGCGUAAAGCGCACGCAGGCGGUUUGUUAAGUCAGAUGUGAAAUCCCCGGGCUCAACCUGGGAACUGCAUCUGAUACUGGCAAGCUUGAGUCUCGUAGAGGGGGGUAGAAUUUCAGGGGUAGCGGUGAAAUGCGUAGAGAUCUGGAGGAAUACCGGUGGCGAAGGCGGCCCCCUGGACGAAGACUGACGCUCAGGUGCGAAAGCGUGGGGAGCAAACAGGAUUAGAUACCCUGGUAGUCCACGCCGUAAACGAUGUCGACUUGGAGGUUGUGCCCUUGAGGCGUGGCUUCCGGAGCUAACGCGUUAAGUCGACCGCCUGGGGAGUACGGCCGCAAGGUUAAAACUCAAAUGAAUUGGCGGGG
Molecule: ribosomal RNA, 396 nt
Filed under: uncultured bacterium
Lineage: Bacteria
Description: partial 16S ribosomal RNA
Rfam family: Bacterial small subunit ribosomal RNA
Source: RNAcentral